GGCGCACGGGUGCGUAACGCGUAUGCAAUCUACCUUUUACAGAGGGAUAGCCCAGAGAAAUUUGGAUUAAUACCUCAUAGUAUAUAGACUCGGCAUCGAGAUUAUAUUAAAGUCACAACGGUAAAAGAUGAGCAUGCGUCCCAUUAGCUAGUUGGUAAGGUAACGGCUUACCAAGGCUACGAUGGGUAGGGGUCCUGAGAGGGAGAUCCCCCACACUGGUACUGAGACACGGACCAGACUCCUACGGGAGGCAGCAGUGAGGAAUAUUGGACAAUGGGCGCAAGCCUGAUCCAGCCAUGCCGCGUGCAGGAUGACGGUCCUAUGGAUUGUAAACUGCUUUUGUACAGGAAGAAACACUGGUUCGUGAACCAGCUUGACGGUACUGUAAGAAUAAGGAUCGGCUAACUCCGUGCCAGCAGCCGCGGUAAUACGGAGGAUCCAAGCGUUAUCCGGAAUCAUUGGGUUUAAAGGGUCCGUAGGCGGUUUAAUAAGUCAGUGGUGAAAGCCCAUCGCUCAACGGUGGAACGGCCAUUGAUACUGUUAAACUUGAAUUAUUAGGAAGUAACUAGAAUAUGUAGUGUAGCGGUGAAAUGCUUAGAGAUUACAUGGAAUACCAAUUGCGAAGGCAGGUUACUACUAAUUGAUUGACGCUGAUGGACGAAAGCGUGGGUAGCGAACAGGAUUAGAUACCCUGGUAGUCCACGCCGUAAACGAUGGAUACUAGCUGUUGGGAGCAAUCUCAGUGGCUAA
RNAcentral lists this ribosomal RNA (750 nucleotides) under Flavobacteriaceae bacterium. RNAcentral describes it as "bacterial SSU rRNA". It matches the Rfam family "Bacterial small subunit ribosomal RNA", at positions 97 to 850 of the family's 1533-position model. The record is from RNAcentral. Lineage: Bacteria; Pseudomonadati; Bacteroidota; Flavobacteriia; Flavobacteriales; Flavobacteriaceae.